UGAGGAAUAUUGGACAAUGGGCGAAAGCCUGAUCCAGCGACGCCGCGUGAGUGAUGAAGGCCUUAGGGUUGUAAAGCUCUUUUAGUGGGGAAGAUAAUGACGGUACCCACAGAAAAAGCCCCGGCUAACUUCGUGCCAGCAGCCGCGGUAAUACGAAGGGGGCUAGCGUUACUCGGAAUUAUUGGGCGUAAAGCGUGCGUAGGCGGCUUGGUAAGUUGGAAGUGAAAGCCCAGGGCUCAACCUUGGAAUUGCUUUCAAAACUGCCUGGCUAGAGUGUCAGAGAGGAUAGCGGAAUUCCUAGUGUAGAGGUGAAAUUCGUAGAUAUUAGGAGGAACACCGGAGGCGAAAGCGGCUAUCUGGCUGAAUACUGACGCUGUUGCACGAAAGCGUGGGUAGCAAACAGGAUUAGAUACCCCCGUAGUCC
This 424-nucleotide ribosomal RNA is filed under the name uncultured bacterium. RNAcentral describes it as "bacterial SSU rRNA". It matches the Rfam family "Bacterial small subunit ribosomal RNA", at positions 355 to 796 of the family's 1533-position model. The record is from RNAcentral.